RNAcentral lists this ribosomal RNA (434 nucleotides) under uncultured Oscillospiraceae bacterium. Its description in RNAcentral is "bacterial SSU rRNA". It matches the Rfam family "Bacterial small subunit ribosomal RNA", at positions 341 to 792 of the family's 1533-position model. The record is from RNAcentral. Lineage: Bacteria; Bacillati; Bacillota; Clostridia; Eubacteriales; Oscillospiraceae.
ACGGGAGGCAGCAGUGGGGGAUAUUGCACAAUGGGGGAAACCCUGAUGCAGCAACGCCGCGUGAAGGAAGACGGUUUUCGGAUUGUAAACUUCUGUUCUUAGUGACGAUAAUGACGGUAGCUAAGGAGAAAGCUCCGGCUAACUACGUGCCAGCAGCCGCGGUAAUACGUAGGGAGCGAGCGUUGUCCGGAAUUACUGGGUGUAAAGGGAGCGUAGGCGGGAGAUCAAGUCAGAUGUGAAAACUACGGGCUCAACCCGUAACCUGCAUUUGAAACUGGUUUUCUUGAGUGAAGUAGAGGCAGGCGGAAUUCCGAGUGUAGCGGUGAAAUGCGUAGAUAUUCGGAGGAACACCAGUGGCGAAGGCGGCCUGCUGGGCUUUUACUGACGCUGAGGCUCGAAAGCAUGGGGAGCAAACAGGAUUAGAUACCCUGGUA